RNAcentral lists this ribosomal RNA (253 nucleotides) under uncultured bacterium. RNAcentral's name for it is "partial 16S ribosomal RNA". It matches the Rfam family "Bacterial small subunit ribosomal RNA", at positions 524 to 776 of the family's 1533-position model. The record is from RNAcentral.
UACGUAGGGGGCUAGCGUUGUCCGGAAUCAUUGGGCGUAAAGCGCGUGUAGGCGGUCCGGUAAGUCCGCUGUGAAAGUCGGGGGCUCAACCCUCGAAUGCCGGUGGAUACUGUCGGGCUAGAGUGCGGAAGAGGCGAGUGGAAUUCCUGGUGUAGCGGUGGAAUGCGUAGAGAUCGGGAAGAACACCCGUGGCGAAGGCGGCCAGCUGGGCCGGUUCUGACGCUGAGGCGCGAAAGCGUGGGGAGCAAACAGG